UCGAGCGGAUGGAAGGAAGCUUGCUUCCUAGAAAGUCAGCGGCGGACGGGUGAGUAACACGUGGGCAACCUGCCCCUAAGAUCGGGAUAACUUCGGGAAACCGGAGCUAAUACCGGAUAUGAUUAUGUCUCACAUGAGACAUAAUGGAAAGACGGUUUCGGCUGUCACUUAGGGAUGGGCCCGCGGCGCAUUAGCUAGUUGGUGAGGUAACGGCUCACCAAGGCGACGAUGCGUAGCCGACCUGAGAGGGUGAUCGGCCACACUGGGACUGAGACACGGCCCAGACUCCUACGGGAGGCAGCAGUAGGGAAUCUUCCGCAAUGGACGAAAGUCUGACGGAGCAACGCCGCGUGAGUGAAGAAGGUUUUCGGAUCGUAAAACUCUGUUGUUAGGGAAGAACAAGUACCAUAGUAACUGAUGGUACCUUGACGGUACCUAACCAGAAAGCCACGGCUAACUACGUGCCAGCAGCCGCGGUAAUACGUAGGUGGCAAGCGUUGUCCGGAUUUAUUGGGCGUAAAGCGCGCGCAGGCGGUCUUUUAAGUCUGAUGUGAAAGCCCACGGCUCAACCGUGGAGGGUCAUUGGAAACUGGGAGACUUGAGUGCAGAAGAGGAGAGUGGAAUUCCACGUGUAGCGGUGAAAUGCGUAGAGAUGUGGAGGAACACCAGUGGCGAAGGCGACUCUCUGGUCUGUAACUGACGCUGAGGCGCGAAAGCGUGGGGAGCGAACAGGAUUAGAUACCCUGGUAGUCCACGCCGUAAACGAUGAGUGCUAAGUGUUAGAGGGUUUCCGCCCUUUAGUGCUGCAGCUAACGCAUUAAGCACUCCGCCUGGGGAGUACGGCCGC
This 847-nucleotide ribosomal RNA is filed under the name Peribacillus deserti. Its description in RNAcentral is "bacterial SSU rRNA". It matches the Rfam family "Bacterial small subunit ribosomal RNA", at positions 62 to 889 of the family's 1533-position model. Lineage: Bacteria; Bacillati; Bacillota; Bacilli; Caryophanales; Bacillaceae. The record is from RNAcentral.